This is a long non-coding RNA of Manis javanica (Malayan pangolin), 3386 nucleotides long. RefSeq lists it as uncharacterized. The record is from RefSeq and is a predicted model, not a curated record. NCBI's taxonomy places the organism in Eukaryota, Metazoa, Chordata, Mammalia, Pholidota, Manidae.
ACUCAGGCGAUACCAGCGAGGGCCUUGAGGGUAGGGCCUAGGACCCUGCUGGAGGGUCGAGGCGGAAGUAAGCGACUAGGAGCGGCGCGCGAGGGGCGGCUGGCGGGCGGGGCCGCGCGCUCGCUGUUGCUUAGGCAACCUGCGCGCGCCGCUGAGAGGCUGGAUCCGCACCCGCCCCUGGAUCAGGGCUCGUCUGCCUUUCCAGCAACCCAGUCCUUUUUGUGUCACAUUUCUCAUAUUUUUUUCCUUCCCACUUUACAGACUGACAGCUGACCACUUAAUUUCAACAGAUAGUUUUCAAGCUGGGGAGAAACACAAGAUCCUUAUUUUGAGAAACUUGCUGUCAAGAGGAGCCGUCCAUGACUUUAAUAGUGUGUUGGGGGGUCUAAUAGGAUAAACCAGCGAACGAGGUUGUCGAUCCUCCGCCACAUUUAUCCAGCUUAAUAACAAACUUCGAAUCCUUUCUAUGUGGCAGGCACUAAAAUGCUAAACGCUGGGGAUGCUGAGUAAGGUAGGUGCCAACCGUCUAGGAUAUGAGUCCGAAGUUCUUGUAUUGUGAGAGGAGAAGACUGCAUGUCCUGCAAAUUUCAUGACACAUCUAAGCAUCUGUGUUUGGAAAAUAAGCAUCCUACUCACAAUGUGUGCAAUGCCCUUUUUAAGCAAUAUUGCAAUGAAUAAGAAAAAUCGGAAACAGGCAGUAGCAUCGUGGGCAGAUCUAGUCUUUAGACUGAAGGCGAGACAUCUAAGAGAGAAAUAGGGAAGCGUCUGCAGUGGGAGCGCUGAAGAUCAGCUCCACCUUUGCCAUGAUUUUUAGCGGACUGUUCUUGAGUGCUGAUUCCAACUGUGGGAAAGACUCCAUAUCCUCAUGACACUCAUGGUGUUCUUCACUUUUAAAACUUUUCCUGAAAAGAAUAAUGACAAAUCAAUAAGCGACUACUCGGUGAGAGGAUUCACGAUGAAGCAGAUUCCUGGGACUCGCUGCCACCGGAUCCAGGAUCCAUCCAUCCCAAGCACAGUAGUGCAUAAGGCUGGAAAUGAAAUUGCACGGCCUGUCCAUGGAGAAAUCCAAGGCUUCCACGGAGCUAAACACAAGAUGCCUGAAGUCCGUCUCACACUUGGACACAGCCAUGCACCUUGUGGAGGCUUGGUAAACACUGCUGGAACUUAACCAAUCCAGCUUUUAAAAAUACUAUUAUUUAUAUAUCAUUCAAAAUGUAAGUAUGCAUUUAUAAGAUUGGAAAAAGAACUUCAUUUCACAGAUGGAAAAUGGAGACCUUGAAAUUUCAAGUGACUUACCUGAAAUCGCAAAACCAGCGAAUGACGCAGCGGUCUUGGCUCUGCGUGGGGAGCCGCCAUGACGCGACUCCUCCCCGCAUCCCAUCUCAGAGCGCUGCUUCUGACGAUGUCCCGACCCUAACUCCCUGACAUUCAAGGCCAACCUCUGUAUUUUAUUUCCUUCAAGAAAGCCUUUCUUGCCUGUAGUAGGCAGGGCAGUGGAGCCCCAGCACAUUCACAUCCACAUCUCCAGACCCUGUGACUGUGUUACCUUACAUGGCAAAAGGCUCUUUGAAGAUGUGAGUGGAGGGUCUUGAGAUCAGAUUAUCCUGAGUUACCUGGUUGGGACCCAUGUCACCGCAGGGAGGCAGAAGAAGGGGUGUCAAGAUGAAGUGAUGAGAAAGACUGGAGCAGCCAUCGCUGACUUUGAAGAUGGAAGGGCACCCUGAACCAAGGAAUAUGGGAAGGUUCUAGAAGCUGAAAGAGGGAAGGCCAUGGAUGGUCCUCGACACCUACAGAAGGAACAUAGCCCCCCAACAUCUUGAUUUUACCCCAGUGAGACCUAUUUUGGACCUCUGACUUAAGAACUGUAAGCUAAUAAGUUUGUGUUUCUGUAAGCCAGCAAGUCUGUGGUAAUUUGUGACAGUAACAGUAAGAAAUGAAUGCAAUGACUGCCCUAUCUCCCUGGUCAUUUAAACUUUUCAUGGUCUAUUAUCAUUUUUUAAUUCAGGUAUCUUUCUACAAGUAGGUAACAGGCUCUUUAAAGCUUAUGGUGUGUCACACAGACUUGAACACUUAGGCUAAUUCUUAAAGUAGCAGUAGGUACCCUUGGGCAAGGUACUUAACCUUUUGCAGUUUUAAUUUUGUAACUGUAAAACAAUGAUUAUAAAACCUUAUCUUGGGGAAUUUGGUGAGGAUUAACAAACAAAUUCAUUUUAAGCAAAAUUCUGUGACUGGCAGAAUGAAAGUAUUUAUUUAAACUCAUCUAAUAUAAAAUUAGUUGUACUAUUUGUGCAUUUUUUAACUAACAAAUUAACAAAAAUCAUGCCAAUUGAUUUAUGAACACCAAGGUCCUAAAUAGCUAUAAAAAUAUGUAUUAUCCUUCAAGGACACCAUUUUCUUCCUUCUAUCUACUGGCUGUAAGCUUGGUUAUAGAUUUAUAUUACAGCUCCAUCCCUGGAGUGGGAGAGGUUGUUGGGACAGAGGUGGAAAUUACAAUGGGAUUAUGUAAACGAGGGAGUAUGUUGCAUACAUUGCAACACUUGUAGGAGUGACAUAUUGGCAGUUAUUUUCUAUAUCACUAGUCCCCUAGCCCCGAACAAUUGCUACCAUAUGUUGCCACAAAUCUUUACAUGUGAAUAUCUUGAGCCCCCUAACUGAUGUUACAGUAUAUAUGGAUGCUAUGCUAUGUAUGCUAAUAGAUGUAUGGAAACAGCAUUAAGUUGUUGAUUAGAACUGAGUUUGAAUUCUGCCUCUUAUUAAGUAUGUAAAUGUAGGCCAUUUAUUUCACACAUGAAUUAAAAUGAGAACAUUUACUAAUAUGCAGAAUGAAUGAGAUACCUUAUGAGAAAGCAUCUCUGUGGCAGAGUCAAGUACACCCAAUGUCCUCAUAAACAUUGUUUUAAUUUUCCUUUGAGAAUUGGGCAUCGUACUUUUUAUUCUUUACUGUCCCUUCUUGUGAUUAGCCCCUAAGAAACCCCAAAUAAAUAUUUGUUGCAAUUGAGAAUUAUGAUAUAUUUAAUAAAAAUAAGAAAAUAAAUCACCAUGAAAAAAAUUUUAAUGUAAGAAAAAAAAAGUAGUGGAAAGCCUACAGUUGGUCAACAUCCAAUUAUUAUAUAUUUAGGGUCAGAAAAAUUCUUUGAAAUUGUGAUAUAUUGUACUUUUUCUCAAAAUGUACUUCAACACAGAAUUUACACAUGGCCUGAAAAUACAGUGUUUAGAAAGUCUUCUCUUUCCUUUAAUCUUUAAAAUAAAGUGCAUAGAAUAAAUAUUUGAAAAAGUGUAGCUUGAAAUGAAGAAACAGAGAGAUUAAUGUAUUUAAUUCAAAACAUGAUUCAAGGUCGCCAUAUAAACAGUUUGCUGUCUCUAGUUUCCCUCCAGUCUAAACUAUC